Molecule: ribosomal RNA, 234 nt
Filed under: uncultured bacterium
Lineage: Bacteria
Description: partial 16S ribosomal RNA
Rfam family: Bacterial small subunit ribosomal RNA
Source: RNAcentral
GGUCUAGUGGCGGACGGGUUAGUAACGCGUGGGAACGUGCCUUUCACUACGGAAUAGUCCCGGGAAACUGGGUUUAAUACCGUAUACGCCCUUCGGGGGAAAGAAUUUCGGUGAAAGAUCGGCCCGCGUUAGAUUAGGUAGUUGGUGGGGUAAUGGCCUACCAAGCCUACGAUCUAUAGCUGGUUUUAGAGGAUGAUCAGCAACACUGGGACUGAGACACGGCCCAGACUCCUA